Molecule: ribosomal RNA, 468 nt
Filed under: uncultured bacterium
Lineage: Bacteria
Description: partial 16S ribosomal RNA
Rfam family: Bacterial small subunit ribosomal RNA
Source: RNAcentral
GACGAACGCUGGCGGCGUGCUUAACACAUGCAAGUCGAACGGAAAGGCCCGGCUUUUGUGGGGUGCUCGAGUGGCGAACGGGUGAGUAACACGUGAGUAACCUGCCCUUGACUUUGGGAUAACUUCAGGAAACUGGGGCGAAUACCGGAUAUGAGCACCUGCUGCACGGGGGGGGUUGGAAAGUUUCGGCGGUUGGGGAUGGACUCGCGGCUUAUCAGCUUGUUGGUGGGGUAGUGGAUUACCAAGGCUUUGACGGGUAGCCGGCCUGAGAGGGUGACCGGCCACAUUGGGCCUGAGAUGCGGCCCAGACUCCUACGGGAGGCAUCAGUGGGGAAUAUUCCACAAUGGGCGGAAGCCUGAUGCAGCAACGCCGCGUGCGGGAUGACGGCCUUCGGGUUGUAAACCGCUUUCGCCUGUGACGAAGCGUGAGUGACGGUAAUGGGUAAAGAAGCACCGGCUAACUACGUG